Molecule: long non-coding RNA, 237 nt
Organism: Etheostoma cragini (Arkansas darter)
Lineage: Eukaryota; Metazoa; Chordata; Actinopteri; Perciformes; Percidae
Exons: 3
Source: RefSeq, a predicted model, not a curated record
AGAUGUUGGGUCAGGGAGCUCACCGCUGUCAGGGCUCAAUCCUAGGGGCGGGAUGAACAGUUGUCUUUCAAAUUCCCUUUGCACGCAAUAGGAUAGCGCUACAACCAACCAACGCUAGUUGAUAGAAUAAACUCUGAACACAUCUUCCUUUUUUUAGAAUGAUUUCUAUGCCGUUCUUUGUUCUUUUCUCAAAGAAAAGCUUAACUCAAAGUCUUCCAGAAAACCGGUGUUCCCAGC